Long non-coding RNA from Betta splendens (Siamese fighting fish), 459 nucleotides. RefSeq lists it as uncharacterized. Lineage: Eukaryota; Metazoa; Chordata; Actinopteri; Anabantiformes; Osphronemidae. The record is from RefSeq and is a predicted model, not a curated record. The transcript is spliced from 2 exons.
UCCGAGAAGUAAAGAAACCCGUACAAGCAAGAUGAAUUCAGCAGAUGGCUUCACUCACUUCCAUUCAUUUGAGUUCUGGUCAUCUACAGAAUCAUGCAACUUGUUCAUGACACAGAGACAAUAGAUCAAAAUGUCACAGCAACAGAUUUUUAUUCUUCACAUGCUGAGGUGUGCAGGUUCUGCUAAUGCAUCAUCUUGGUGCCAUGUUGGACAUUUAUCAAAUAUAUGAAAUCAUUUAUUUAUGUGCUGACCCGUGCAUUUCCAUGUCAUGUGUCUGGGUGCACACCUGCAUGUGACCCUGUGACCCUGGUUAAAAGAUGAGUAAUCAGUUGUGUGAUGGUGAUGACACUGUGAUCUUGAAGGGGGGGUGAGGAUCAUGGAGUGAGGAAGAGGAUGGGGUCUGAAUCAUAGGAAGCUGUUUGAGCGAUCCUCAAAAUAAAAUCCACAAUGAAAAUACUA